GGAAUAUUGCGCAAUGGGGGAAACCCUGACGCAGCGACGCCGCGUGGGUGAUGAAGGCCUUCGGGUCGUAAAGCCCUGUCGGAGGGGAAGAAGGACUGUCGUGCAAAUAGUGCGAUGGUUUGACGGUACCCUUAGAGGAAGCACCGGCUAACUCCGUUCCAGCAGCCGCGGUAAUACGGAGGGUGCAAGCGUUGCUCGGAAUUACUGGGCGUAAAGGGCGUGUAGGCGGUUUCGUAUGUCUGGCGUGAAAGCCCCGGGCUCACCUCGGGAAGUGCGUCGGAAACUGCGAGACUAGAGUCCCGGAGAGGGAGGUGGAAUUCCAGGUGUAGCGGUGAAAUGCGUAGAUAUCUGGAAGAACACCGGUGGCGAAAGCGGCCUCCUGGACGGUGACUGACGCUGAGGCGCGAAAGCGUGGGGAGCAAA
This 423-nucleotide ribosomal RNA is filed under the name uncultured bacterium. Its description in RNAcentral is "bacterial SSU rRNA". It matches the Rfam family "Bacterial small subunit ribosomal RNA", at positions 358 to 772 of the family's 1533-position model. The record is from RNAcentral.